AUGAAAGGGAACCCGCUCAGGCGACUCGGACGGAGCCCCAAAUCCGGCAGGAUCGCCAUACCUCCUAUCCUCCCCUUUUGUCGCCGCUCGAGGAAGCCGCCGGGUGAAGCCCUGUCGGCUGAUUGGGUGGUGCGGGCACCCAAGGGCGCGGGGGCACAUCCCUCGGAUGUAGGUCACGGCGGAGUGAGGCGGUGGUGUGGUGGUGGGUGGAUGCGGCGGAGCUGCAGGGGCGCUGUGGGAGGGUUGGUGGUGCGGCUGUGCUGGUGUCGCGCAGGGCCCAGCGGGGGCCGGGUGGUUCCAGAUCGGGGGGUGGGCGCCUUCGUGGUCUCCGGUCAGAUCCUCUCGGAUCUGGCCCCUAGGCGUCGGUGUGCGGCGCGGGGUGUUGGCAGCAGCCAUGUUGGCAACUGCGUGGGUGUAGGCUGCAAUGACGUGGUGGCAGUCCAUGGUGGUGGUGCGGGUCGGUUCGCGGCGGCUGCAGGACAUGCUCCGGCAUCUGGCCGUUGGCGAGCUACUCUUGUGGAGGUCCCUGGGUCCUCUUGCGGCAACAGGGUGUGGCGGUUCGGGCACCUCACGUCGCUGGGCGUGUGGCCGGUCCCUGCCAGAUGCAGAUCUAGGCCGGGAGUCGAGGUUGGGUGUCGUAGGAGGGUGACGUCUGGGAGAGGUGGUGGGAGUGGUGGGUGGCGCCGAUGCGGUCGGGCCACCCGUCACCGACAGGGGUGCCGGUCAUCGACAUGGUCCGCUCCCGCUUCACCUCUUCUUCGAUCUGGUGGCUCCCUGAUAGAUCUGGUUGUUCUAGUCGCUGGCGGCUUUGUCGGCGGUCGGAGAUUGCCAAUCGGCACAUUGUCAUUGUUCACAGCCAUGGAGGGCCUAUGGGGUGUCUUGUUCCCCGGGCGGCGGCCCGGGUGGUGGGAGCUGCGGUGCUGGUGGGCUGAGCUCGCGGCUUAG
RNAcentral lists this ribosomal RNA (945 nucleotides) under Triticum aestivum (bread wheat). RNAcentral's name for it is "partial small subunit ribosomal RNA". The record is from RNAcentral. Lineage: Eukaryota; Viridiplantae; Streptophyta; Magnoliopsida; Poales; Poaceae.